RNAcentral lists this long non-coding RNA (2094 nucleotides) under Balaenoptera musculus (blue whale). RNAcentral's name for it is "lncRNA (ENSBMSG00010019873.1)". Lineage: Eukaryota; Metazoa; Chordata; Mammalia; Artiodactyla; Balaenopteridae. The record is from RNAcentral.
GUAAUGGUAAUUUUCCAGCAAAUAAAUAAUUUCCAGUAUACCAUUUUCUCAAGAGGUAAACCUGCGUUCCUAAAAGGGCAAGGGGGCUGCAGCUCGCAGGGCCAGGAACAGCAACGAACGGAAGCACAGACGCCGCAGCGCGGAGGUGACACGGGGCCCGGCUGCCUGGCCCCCACCUGCCUGCGCAGCCGCCUGCUCCGGUCCCGGAGGCCCAGCCCCGCGCCGGCCUCGGGCCGCGGGCUCCCACCGCGGGUCCGCAGGGCUCGCCCCGUACGUUCCCGCACCUGCCUCAGUGCGCCCGAGGUCCCGGAGCUGCCGGCGGCGCGACGCUUGCUCGGCUACGGACCCAGCGAGCUGCAGGCGAGGGGCGCGCGGGGGGCGGGGCGUAGGGGGUGCAGGGGAGGGGGGCGGGGCGCGCAGGGCGGAGGGGCGGGGCGCGAGGAGGGGACGUACACGGGGCGCUGGGCGGGGUUACCUGUGGCUGGAGACGCUGGGGGCGCUGGGCAGGGGGCGAACGGCGUGGCGCGCGGCGCUGGGCCGCCUCUGGGCCCUUGCCCGGGCUCCCGCGGAGGUUGGCUGUGCGGCCGCACACCUGCGUCACCGACUCUCCGGCUGCUGCGCGCGGGCACCGGGCCGCUUUCAUCCUCUUCUGCUGAGCGCCUUAAAGAAACGGGUGCGGAGCAAGGAUGCAGUGUGCCCUCCCUGGACCCCUCCGAUUCUUCCCAUCCGGUUAAGGAAAGACUCAUGACAGGGCCCCGGGGACAAGCCCUUUCCAUGGUUCCCAGACUUCUGGAUUCCAGACGCCAACGAUAGCUCCAAAAAAAAUUUUUUUUUUGGUGACCUACAUAGAUUUGUCAAGCAUUUAUGUGGCCAAGUGAGAGGGAAAAGCAAAACAAAACCUGCCAUCUCCCAUCAGAAUCAUUUUAUUACAGAAACCUUUUCUCACCCAAAUGCAGAAAGGACAUUACCUCAGCUAAGGACAAUGUUUUGCAUGGAAUAUACUUAGCUGGGUGGACAUCUCCUGGGCUUGGCCGUAUUACUGUCGUGUGGGUGUGACCAUCUCUGUGGGCAAACCAGUUCCCAGCUGGGAAUUUCGGCCCCAAGAUCCAGCUGUACGUGGCCAGUCCUGCCCCCGUCACACCCGCUUGGGGCUGGGCAACCUGUGCCCACAUGGCCCAGCUCAUCGCCCACUGCCUGUCACCCACGCCCAGCUCUGCUCCCCCUGUGGCCUCCCCCGGCCAGCGUGGCUGCCUGGUCUCCUUGCCUGAGUGGGCAGAAGCAUCAGCCUCAUUCUCCUUAAAGCAUCUGUGCCCCUUGAUUAAUGUGCCUUUCAAAUGAUUACUAAGUCAGCAUUAUUUUAGCCUCCACAGUUGUCACUGGGCCAGUCCUGAGCCCAAAGACAUCACUUGAGCCCUUCCCUUCUCCAGGGAGCAGAAAAAAGAAGGUCCUGCCUUUCCUGGGAGGAAACUUAGUAGGAUUGUGCUGUUUCUACCAUCUUUCCCAAAGAAAAUGUGAAAUAAAGACUUCCCCCCUAUAUAGAAGCACCUCCUAGUCUCAGACCACAAGCGUUUUCCGUGUGUUAAUCCUCUCAUGCAGCGGUGGAGGCUUUUAGACACCCAGAUAUUCAAGCUUUCUGAAGAGCUACCCAAUGCAUUCGAUGACUAAAUGGAAGUUAUAUUAGUUUUCUAUAGACUGGGAAAGAUUUUUUUGUUUUAAUUUGAGUCCAAUAUCCUUUACCUUCCUUUAAAGGCUUUCAAUUUGUAUGUGAAUGUUUUAUAGGACCUCUGAUGAUUAGAAUAUUGAUAACCAUAAUUGGGCAAACACUUAAGACAUAUUCAUUCGUUCAACAAAUGUUCUUAAAGCACCUACGACGUGCCAACCACAGCACUGGCUUUGGAGAUACAAUAAUGAAAACCCAUUCUUUUCCUCAAGGGCUUAGGAAUUUUAGUCCGGGGAACAGACAUGUCAACAUAAAGAGAAGUGCUCAGGGCUUUCCUGGUUCCCUGGGCAGGUCCAGAGCAGCGUAAGGGAGCGGGCAUCACCAGUUCCACCUGAGUGAUGGGGAGCAGCUUCCCAGGGGCAGCAGACACUGGG